Molecule: ribosomal RNA, 508 nt
Filed under: uncultured Mycobacterium sp.
Lineage: Bacteria; Bacillati; Actinomycetota; Actinomycetes; Mycobacteriales; Mycobacteriaceae
Description: bacterial SSU rRNA
Rfam family: Bacterial small subunit ribosomal RNA
Source: RNAcentral
GAGUUUGAUCAUGGCUCAGGACGAACGCUGGCGGCGUGCUUAACACAUGCAAGUCGAACGGUAAGGCCCUUCGGGGUACACGAGUGGCGAACGGGUGAGUAACACGUGGGUAAUCUGCCCUGCACAUCGGGAUAAGCCUGGGAAACUGGGUCUAAUACCGAAUAGGACCACAGAACACAUGUCCUGUGGUGGAAAGCUUUUGCGGUGUGGGAUGGGCCCGCGGCCUAUCAGCUUGUUGGUGGGGUGAUGGCCUACCAAGGCGACGACGGGUAGCCGGCCUGAGAGGGUGUCCGGCCACACUGGGACUGAGAUACGGCCCAGACUCCUACGGGAGGCAGCAGUGGGGAAUAUUGCACAAUGGGCGAAAGCCUGAUGCAGCGACGCCGCGUGGGGGAUGACGGCCUUCGGGUUGUAAACCUCUUUCACCAUCGACGAAGGUCCGGGUUUUCUCGGAUUGACGGUAGGUGGAGAAGAAGCACCGGCCAACUACGUGCCAGCAGCCGCGGUA